AGCGAACGCUGGCGGCAGGCCUAACACAUGCAAGUCGAACGAACCUUUCGGGGUUAGUGGCGGACGGGUGAGUAACACGUGGGAACGUGCCUUUAGGUUCGGAAUAACUCAGGGAAACUUGUGCUAAUACCGAAUGUGCCCUUCGGGGGAAAGAUUUAUCGCCUUUAGAGCGGCCCGCGUCUGAUUAGCUAGUUGGUUGAGGUAAUGGCUCACCAAGGCGACGAUCAGUAGCUGGUCUGAGAGGAUGAUCAGCCACAUUGGGACUGAGACACGGCCCAAACUCCUACGCGAGGCAGCAGUGGGUAAUCUUGCGCAAUGGGCGAAAGCCUGACGCAGCCAUGCCGCGUGAAUGAUGAAGGUCUUAGGAUUGUAAAAUUCUUUCACCGGGGACGAUAAUGACGGUACCCGGAGAAGAAGCCCCGGCUAACUUCGUG
RNAcentral lists this ribosomal RNA (434 nucleotides) under uncultured bacterium. RNAcentral describes it as "partial 16S ribosomal RNA". It matches the Rfam family "Bacterial small subunit ribosomal RNA", at positions 29 to 507 of the family's 1533-position model. The record is from RNAcentral.